RNAcentral lists this ribosomal RNA (479 nucleotides) under uncultured bacterium. Its description in RNAcentral is "partial 16S ribosomal RNA". It matches the Rfam family "Bacterial small subunit ribosomal RNA", at positions 28 to 507 of the family's 1533-position model. The record is from RNAcentral.
GAUGAACGCUGGCGGCGUGCUUAACACAUGCAAGUCGAACGAAGCACCUUGAUUUGAUUCUUCGGAUGAAGAUCUUGGUGACUGAGUGGCGGACGGGUGAUUAACGCUUGGGUAACCUGCCUCAUACAGGGGGAUAACAGUUAGAAAUGACUGCUAAUACCGCAUAAGACCACAGCACCGCAUGGUGCAGGGGUAAAAACUCCGGUGGUAUGAGAUGGACCCGCGUCUGAUUAGGUAGUUGGUGGGGUAACGGCCUACCAAGGCGACGAUCAGUAGCCGACCUGAGAGGGUGACCGGCCACAUUGGGACUGAGACACGGCCCAAACUCCUACGGGAGGCAGCAGUGGGGAAUAUUGCACAAUGGGGGAAACCCUGAUGCAGCGACGCCGCGUGAGCGAUGAAGUAUUUCGGUAUGUAAAGCUCUAUCAGCAGGGAAGAAAAUGACGGUACCUGACUAAGAAGCACCGGCUAAAUACGUG